AUUUUGGCAAUAUAAAUUAAGGUAAAAGAAGUUACAUACUCGGCUGAAGAGAACCUUAAUUGGUCCUAGAACGGCCUGAAGUAGGGAGGUUUUAGUCGGUGGGUCCGAAGACUUCUUCCUCGGGAAUCCGACACUACCCAAUCGUACGGACGGCUGGGUGUCUUUUGAAGAUUUCCCCUCUUCCACGAAA
Non-coding RNA from Agrilus planipennis (emerald ash borer), 190 nucleotides. The record is from Rfam. Lineage: Eukaryota; Metazoa; Arthropoda; Insecta; Coleoptera; Buprestidae.